Molecule: ribosomal RNA, 527 nt
Filed under: bacterium A3M_VP7_B10
Lineage: Bacteria
Description: bacterial SSU rRNA
Rfam family: Bacterial small subunit ribosomal RNA
Source: RNAcentral
UAAUACGGGAGGCAGCAGUGGGGAAUAUUGCACAAUGGGCGCAAGCCUGAUGCAGCCAUGCCGCGUGUAUGAAGAAGGCCUUCGGGUUGUAAAGUACUUUCAGCAGUGAGGAAGGUGGGUAUGUUAAUAGCAUACUCAUUUGACGUUAGCUGCAGAAGAAGCACCGGCUAACUCCGUGCCAGCAGCCGCGGUAAUACGGAGGGUGCGAGCGUUAAUCGGAAUUACUGGGCGUAAAGCGCAUGCAGGUGGAUGAUUAAGUCAGAUGUGAAAGCCCGGGGCUCAACCUCGGAAUAGCAUUUGAAACUGGUCAUCUAGAGUACUGUAGAGGGGGGUAGAAUUUCAGGUGUAGCGGUGAAAUGCGUAGAGAUCUGAAGGAAUACCGGUGGCGAAGGCGGCCCCCUGGACAGAUACUGACACUCAGAUGCGAAAGCGUGGGGAGCAAACAGGAUUAGAUACCCUGGUAAUCCCCGCCCGUAACGAUGUCUACUUGGAGGUUGUGGCCUUGAGCCGUGGCUUUCGGAGCUAAC